RNAcentral lists this ribosomal RNA (439 nucleotides) under Onthophagus muticus. RNAcentral describes it as "partial 16S ribosomal RNA". Lineage: Eukaryota; Metazoa; Arthropoda; Insecta; Coleoptera; Scarabaeidae. The record is from RNAcentral.
GUCUUUUUGAUUAUAAUUUAAGGUCUGACCUGCCCUCUGAUAAAAUAUUGAAUGGCCGCGAUAAUUUGAUCGUGCAAAGGUAGCAUAAUAAUUAGUUUUUUAAUUGGGAACUGGAAUGAAAGGUCGAACGAGAAAAAGACUGUCUCAAUUUAAUUUUAAUUAGAAUUUUAUUUUUAAGUAAAAAAGCUUAAAUAAUUUUAAAAGACGAGAAGACCCUAUAGAGUUUUAUAUUUAAUAAAUUAUUUUUUAGUUUAAGAAUUUUAUUUUAAAAUUAUUUAUUAAAUAUUUGGUUGGGGUGAUUGAAAAAUUUAAUAAACUUUUUUUAUUUAUUUUACAUUGAUAUAUGAUUAAUUGAUCCAUUAUUUAUGAUUAAAAGAUUAAAUUACCUUAGGGAUAACAGCGUAAUUUUUUUUGAGAGUUCUUAUCGAAAAAAAAGUUU